AUUGAACGCUGGCGGCAUGCUUUACACAUGCAAGUCGAACGGCAGCGGGGAGGAGCUUGCUUCUCUGCCGGCGAGUGGCGAACGGGUGAGUAAUACAUCGGAACGUGUCGAGAAGAGGGGGAUAACCACCCGAAAGGGUGGCUAAUACCGCAUAAAUUCUGAGGAAGAAAGCUGGGGACCUGGGAAUAGGCCUAGCGCUUUUUGAGCGGCCGAUGUCGGAUUAGCUAGUUGGUGAGGUAAAGGCUCACCAAGGCGAAGAUCUGUAGCGGGUCUGAGAGGAUGAUCCGCCACACUGGGACUGAGACACGGCCCAGACUCCUACGGGAGGCAGCAGUGGGGAAUUUUGGACAAUGGGGGCAACCCUGAUCCAGCCAUGCCGCGUGUAUGAAGAAGGCCUUAGGGUUGUAAAGUACUUUUGUUAGGGAAGAAAAGUCAGCUGUGAAUAAUGGCUGAUACUGACGGUACCUAAAGAAUAAGCACCGGCGAACUACGU
Molecule: ribosomal RNA, 493 nt
Filed under: uncultured bacterium
Lineage: Bacteria
Description: partial 16S ribosomal RNA
Rfam family: Bacterial small subunit ribosomal RNA
Source: RNAcentral